UAAGAUAAUUUAACUCAACACUCGAUUAAUUUAAUACCACCUGUGCAAAUCAGGAUUAGCUGGAUUGGUGUUGCCUAUAAAACAUGGAAUGAACCAAGAAAAGAUUAAAAUUGUAUGCAACUGAGAAGCAAAUGGCAAUGGAAGUUGAAAGGAGAGUGCAAUCAAAGAACUUUUCUGAACAUGAGAAAAGUCUUUUAAAGCAAAUAGUUUCGAGACAUCCUGUUAUCGAAGAUAAAACUGCACACAUCAGCUGUUGAAUCCAAAAAAGGAAUGCAUGGAAAUCUAUUUGUAAUGAAUUUAAUGCAAAUGAACACACAUUUACAUGAACAAUACAACAACUUCAAAGAGGUUUAAGACUGGAGGAGGACCUGCAAAUAAAGCCUGUGAUUGUAUUGGAUGAGUUACUGACAAGAAUACUGGAGAAUCAACAACCUUUGGAGAACAUACCAGAUGAUGACCAUCUAGAUGGUUCAGAUGAUGGAUCACAUGCACCUAUAUUAAGAGGUCAAAACAGAACUGAAGAAUUGGAAAGCAGCUUACCCUCCACAUCCUCAGAAGCAAGGGUUGCAUUGUCUGCCAGUACUGGUCAACAGAAGAAAAGACUCACUGUUCAUGAAAAGUUGGAUGAUGAUUUUCAUGAACAUAAAUUGAAGUAUCUUGAGGAGCAUGAAGAUACAAGUAGAACUGGAGAUAAAGAUGAAGGAGAGAGCAGGCUCAAAUGUCACAUCAGUACAUGAAUCUGUGAAAUAAAUAUUGUUUUAUGACGAAAAGAUGGAUGUUGUGGUGGUUUCAGUAACAUACCAGACAAAAGUGGACACUUCUAACACAUAUUUGGUUUUUAUCAUUACAUGUAUCAGAUCUGAGCGGAAGGGUGAAAGGUAAAAAAUAUAAAAAUCUAUUUAAAGUGGCACAAUGCAAAAGCAUCCCUGUAUGCAAGUCCUUCUCUGUGGUUUGUUGUAAAUGGUGGCACAUCUGGAUUGUCAUCCUCUUCUAUUGGGGGAUCUGGGCAUCCCUGCUUUUUUAGGUAGUUGUGAAGAACAGCUGUUGCAAUGAUGACAGUGCAGCAUCUACUUGGUUUGAAUCUAAGUGUUUUUAAAGCACUGUAAGCGACUCUUCCAAACAUGCGCUUGACUAAACCCCUUCUGCGCAUCUGAACCUGGUUGUAGCACAGUUGUUGGGUGCAAGUAUGUUGUAAACAAGAAAUCCUUCUGAG
Long non-coding RNA from Cyprinus carpio carpio, 1213 nucleotides. Lineage: Eukaryota; Metazoa; Chordata; Actinopteri; Cypriniformes; Cyprinidae. The record is from Ensembl.